AGAUUAAGUUAUUAAGGGCGCACGGUGGAUGCCUUGGCACUAGAAGCCGAUGAAGGACGUUACUAACGACGAUAUGCUUUGGGGAGCUGUAAGUAAGCUGUGAUCCAGAGAUUUCCGAAUGGGGGAACCCAAUACGAGUUAUGUCGUAUUAUCGAUACGUAAAUACAUAGCGUAUCGAAGGUAGACGCGGAGAACUGAAACAUCUUAGUACCCGCAGGAAGAGAAAGAAAAAUCGAUUCCCUGAGUAGCGGCGAGCGAAACGGGAAGAGCCCAAACCAACGAGCUUGCUUGUUGGGGUUGUAGGACACUCUAUACGGAGUUACAAAGGAAUAGAUUAGACGAAGCAUCUGGAAAGAUGCAUCAAAGAAGGUAAUAAUCCUGUAGUCGAAAAUCUGUUCUCUCUUGAGUGGAUCCUGAGUACGACGGAACACGAGAAAUUCCGUCGGAAUCCGGGAGGACCAUCUCCCAAGGCUAAAUACUCUCUAGUGACCGAUAGUGAACCAGUACCGUGAGGGAAAGGUGAAAAGUACCCCGGAAGGGGAGUGAAAGAGAACUUGAAACCGUGUGCUUACAAGUAGUCAGAGCCCGUUAAUGGGUGAUGGCGUGCCUUUUGUAGAAUGAACCGGCGAGUUACGAUUUGAUGCAAGGUUAAGCAGUGAAUGUGGAGCCGUAGCGAAAGCGAGUCUGAAUAGGGCGUUGAGUAUUUGGUCGUAGACCCGAAACCAGGUGAUCUACCCUUGACCAGGUUGAAGUUCAGGUAACACUGAAUGGAGGACCGAACCGACUUACGUUGAAAAGUGAGCGGAUGAGUUGAGGGUAGCGGAGAAAUUCCAAUCGAACCUGGAGAUAGCUGGUUCUCUCCGAAAUAGCUUUAGGGCUAGCCUCAAGUGAUGAUUAUUGGAGGUAGAGCACUGUUUGGACGAGGGGCCCUUCUCGGGUUACCGAAUUCAGACAAACUCCGAAUGCCAAUCAAUUUAACUUGGGAGUCAGAACGCGGGUGAUAAGGUCCGUGUUCGAAAGGGAAACAGCCCAGACCACCAGCUAAGGUCCCAAAAUAUAUGUUAAGUGGAAAAGGAUGUGGCGUUGCCCAGACAACUAGUAUGUUGGCUUAGAAGCAGCCAUCAUUUAAAGAGUGCGUAAUAGCUCACUAGUCGAGUGACACUGCGCCGAAAAUGUACCGGGGCUAAACAUAUUACCGAAGCUGUGGAUUGUCCGUAGGACAAUGGUAGGAGAGCGUUCUAAGGGCGUUGAAGCAUGAUCGCAAGGACAUGUGGAGCGCUUAGAAGUGAGAAUGCCGGUGUGAGUAGCGAAAGACGGGUGAGAAUCCCGUCCACCGAUUGACUAAGGUUUCCAGAGGAAGGCUCGUCCGCUCUGGGUUAGUCGGGUCCUAAGCUGAGGCCGAUAGGCGUAGGCGAUGGAUAACAGGUUGAUAUUCCUGUACCACCAUGAAUCGUUUUAAGCGA
This 1463-nucleotide ribosomal RNA is filed under the name Staphylococcus cohnii. Its description in RNAcentral is "bacterial LSU rRNA". It matches the Rfam family "Bacterial large subunit ribosomal RNA", at positions 1 to 1464 of the family's 2925-position model. Lineage: Bacteria; Bacillati; Bacillota; Bacilli; Caryophanales; Staphylococcaceae. The record is from RNAcentral.